Molecule: ribosomal RNA, 318 nt
Filed under: uncultured fungus
Lineage: Eukaryota; Fungi
Description: SSU rRNA
Rfam family: Eukaryotic small subunit ribosomal RNA
Source: RNAcentral
UAACCUACUAAAUAGCCAGGCCCGCAUUCGCGGGUCGCCGGCUUCUUAGAGGGACUAUCGGAUUACAAGUCGAUGGAAGUUUGAGGCAAUAACAGGUCUGUGAUGCCCUUAGAUGUUCUGGGCCGCACGCGCGCUACACUGACAGAGUCAACGAGUACAUUCACCUUGGCCGGAAGGCCCGGGUAAUCUUGUUAAACUCAUGUCGUGCUGGGGAUAGAGCAUUGCAAUUAUCGCUCUUCAACGAGGAAUUCCUAGUAAGCGCGAGUCAUCAGCUCGCGUUGAUUACGUCCCUGCCCUUUGUACACACCGCCCGUCGCU